GAUGAACGCUGGCGGCGUGCCUAAUACAUGCAAGUCGAGCGAACGGACGAGAAGCUUGCUUUUCUGAUGUUAGCGGCGGACGGGUGAGUAACACGUGGAUAACCUACCUAUAAGACUGGGAUAACUUCGGGAAACCGGAGCUAAUACCGGAUAAUAUUUUGAACCGCAUGGUUCAAAAGUGAAAGACGGUCUUGCUGUCACUUAUAGAUGGAUCCGCGCUGCAUUAGCUAGUUGGUAAGGUAACGGCUUACCAAGGCAACGAUGCAUAGCCGACCUGAGAGGGUGAUCGGCCACACUGGAACUGAGACACGGUCCAGACUCCUACGGGAGGCAGCAGUAGGGAAUCUUCCGCAAUGGGCGAAAGCCUGACGGAGCAACGCCGCGUGAGUGAUGUAGGUCUUCGGAUCGUAAAACUCUGUUAUUAGGGAAGAACAUAUGUGUAAGUAACUGUGCACAUCUUGACGGUACCUAAUCAGAAAGCCACGGCUAACUACGUGCCAGCAGCCGCGGUAAUACGUAGGUGGCAAGCGUUAUCCGGAAUUAUUGGGCGUAAAGCGCGCGUAGGCGGUUUUUUAAGUCUGAUGUGAAAGCCCACGGCUCAACCGUGGAGGGUCAUUGGAAACUGGAAAACUUGAGUGCAGAAGAGGAAAGUGGAAUUCCAUGUGUAGCGGUGAAAUGCGCAGAGAUGUGGAGGAACACCAGUGGCGAAGGCGACUUUCUGGUCUGUAACUGACGCUGAUGUGCGAAAGCGUGGGGAUCAAACAGGAUUAGAUACCCUGGUAGUCCACGCCGUAAACGAUGAGUGCUAAGUGUUAGGGGGUUUCCGCCCCUUAGUGCUGCAGCUAACGCAUUAAGCACUCCGCCUGGGGAGUACGACCGCAAGGUUGAAACUCAAAGGAAUUGACGGGGGCCCGCACAAGCGGUGGAGUAUGUGGUUUAAUUCGAAGCAACGCGAAGAACCUUACCAAAUCUUGACAUCCUUUGACAACUCUAGAGAUAGAGCCUUCCCCUUCGGGGGACAAAGUGACAGGUGGUGCAUGGUUGUCGUCGGCUCGUGUCGUGAGAUGUUGGGUUAAGUCCCGCAACGAGCGCAACCCUUAAGCUUAGUUGCCAUCAUUAAGUUGGGCACUCUAAGUUGACUGCCGGUGACAAACCGGAGGAAGGUGGGGAUGACGUCAAAUCAUCAUGCCCCUUAUGAUUUGGGCUACACACGUGCUACAAUGGACAAUACAAAGGGCAGCGAAACCGCGAGGUCAAGCAAAUCCCAUAAAGUUGUUCUCAGUUCGGAUUGUAGUCUGCAACUCGACUACAUGAAGCUGGAAUCGCUAGUAAUCGUAGAUCAGCAUGCUACGGUGAAUACGUUCCCGGGUCU
Molecule: ribosomal RNA, 1372 nt
Filed under: uncultured bacterium
Lineage: Bacteria
Description: bacterial SSU rRNA
Rfam family: Bacterial small subunit ribosomal RNA
Source: RNAcentral